GAAGCCGGGCGAAAGGGCACGCGCCGCCUUCCGCGCCCCCCACCCCCUCCGAUCCCUAAUGGUAGUGCGUACCCGAAUGGUUUGCUGUUGUUUCGCGUCCUCCAGCCGCGUUAUAUUUAGGAGGAAGGUACCGUAAGGAACCAGAGAUGCUCGGCUGCGCACGGCAGUUACAGAAUUCUCUCAAGUUAGAAGAAUUAAGCAAAAUACUUAAAAGCACAGAAAAGCUGACAAAAUGGUGGUGAAUUACUAAACCAGAUAACACUCAGGGACGUGAGUCCUGUGUUUGGAGACAGCUGUCACCCUAUCCACAGAGACAAGCUCAGAAGCUGGGCCUGAAAGUCCUCCUGACAGGCACUUGGAGAUGCCUCAAGAUUGAAACAUUGUAUCCUUCAACUCAAAUAACUUCAGGAACUCCCUGAAACUGAGCAGAUUCACUAGGCCCCUACCUCCUAAAAGUAAACAAGAAAGCCGGGAGAGCACCCCAGACAUUCCAAGCUGCAAAGAAGAUUCUGAGACCAGACCAGUUGUCCGGAAGAAGCAAAAAACCAGCUGAGCUCUGUGGAAGAGGUUAUACCAACUGAAUCACUUGGAAAGGACACUCUAUAACCUGUUGAGCUUGUUGCUGGCUAUACAGUGCGCUCCAGGGUCCCAGCUUUGAUGAGCUGUCACCUGUGCUGGGGUGGGCCUUGGUGAUGCAGCUGCCUUUAAGUCGUUUCUGCUCCUGUAAGUAACCCCAAAUAACUCUUUGGCUCCUUACAUUGGACUUUAGUGGAAUUCACACUUUGAUUUGUUGUGAGCUCCCUAUCUGGGGCAAAUAGAUGUGUGUUGCAUCUCCCCAGGAAAAGUCCUGUCACAGAAUACUUAGGUGACACUAAUGUAUUUAGUCAGUAUCUGUAAGAACCUGCACUCAUCACUGUGGCCAGACCCAUUUAGGAUUUUCCUGGUUCCUGGAAAUACCAGAAUAGGUACAUUAUGUUUACAGUUUGCUGAGAAAUGACAACAGCAGAUAUGCUAACUGUGUGCUUUCUAAUCAGAAAGCACACAGACAAGGGUUACAGAUGGAAAAUGACCUACCACAGAGCAAAAACGGCAGGUUCACAAAUAGCACCAGAUGCUUUAAUUACUGGCUGUUCCCACAAACUAGAAAAUAGAUUUUAUAGACUCUGUCUGAAAGGAACAAUGAUCCAGCUUUGUCUGUGAGCCCUGAGCACACAGAUAGCAGUCAUCAUGAGUGAUGCCACCACCAAAUGCCCAGGAGAGUGUUACAGGGCCAGGGCUAUUGAAUCAACAAAUGACUAAAGGUCAACUCUGGAGCCCUCUUUUGACUGAAUUCAAGGUCUCAAGUGUAAGGAAGUAAAUAUUUCAUAAUUUUGUUUGUUUGUUUAGAUAGGGUGUCUCUAUUAUGUAGCUCUCACUGUCCUAAAACUGUAUGUACACCAGCCUGGCCUCAUACUCACAGAGAUCUACCUUCCAAGUGCUGGAUUCCCAGCAGAAUUUCAUAAUUUCAGAGGGGAAAAGGGCUACACAUGUAUCAGUUCUUCAUGUCUUCCUUCUCUGUAUACUCUCUUAUCUUCAGCUAUUAAACAGAAACCCAAAAGGCUAGAUGCAGAGAGUAAAGUGGGCAUUGGUAGACCACUGACAUGAUCUUUAUCUUAGUUUUCCCCUCUGUUGCUAUGAUAAAACACUCAGGCAAAAGUAACUUCAGGGAAAGAAGUUAUUUAGCUAACAAUUCCAGGCUAUAGCUCAUCAUUUGAGAAAGUCAUGAUGGAGACUUAAAGUCACUAGUCACAUACAGUCAAAACAGAAACAUGAACUGAAGAGAUGGCUCAGGGGUUAAGGGUACUGUCUGCUCUUCCAGAGUUCUGAGUUCAAUUCCCAAUAACCACAUGGUGGCUCAUAAACAUCUGUACUGGCAUGUAGGUGUACAUGCAGUCAGAGCACUCAUAUACAUUAAAAACAAACAAACAAAAAACAAAACCAGAGGCAUGCCAAAUGUACUGGUACACAUCUUUAAUUCCAGCAUUUGGGAAGCAGAGGCAGACAGAUCUCUGAGUUCAAGGCCAGCCAGUGAAUUCCAGAAUAGCCAGAGCUAUUCUGAGACUCUGACUUGAAAAAAAAAAUUAAAAAUUAAAAAAUGGAAACAAUAAACACAAGUCAUGCUCUGCCUACUUUCUUCUCUCUUAAGCUGACUCUUACGCUGAGAGUCUCUAUCUAAGGAAUGAUGGUCCCCAAAGUGGGCAGGUCUUCAACUUCAAUUAAUGUAAUUAAGACAAGCUCCCACAAGUAUGCCCAUAAGCCAACCUGAUCCUGAUAAUCCUUCAUUUAGACUCCCUUCUCAGGUGAGUCUACAUCGUGUCAAGUCAAGAAAACCAGCCAUCAAAAGACUCCAUCCCUAAAGCAGCAAGACGGCUGCUUUCUAGAUUUCCCUGACUUUUGUUUCGUAUAACUCCUAAUGGUCAAUGCAAUGGUUUGUCACUAGGAUGAAGCUGAACAAACUGCCAGGGUACAGGCUUGGUUUUUUACCUUUUUCAAUGAGAGUAUUUGGGAGUGGAGAGAGAAUUUAUAUUCUCUGAAGACAGUCUGUCAACCCAGUGGCUUUUCAGCCAUCAUUAAGAACCAAGUGAGGACAUUAAAAAUCUUAGCAGAAGCAGUGUGAAUGCAAGACUGUCAGAGAAGAGGAUAGAGUGAAGAAUGCAAAUGUUUUGUGUUUGCCCUGCACCCCACUAACCUUGCAUAUCCUUCAACACACGAGUGUCCUCCUCCAUUCUCAAUAGCCUGUCUGCUUCCCCAGAUUGAUUUUACUCCUUUUUCUACUGAGAAGUUUUACCUUUGGAGGUGGGGGAGCAGUUAUUUGCUCCGUGGCUUCCAAUCCAAUGUGGGAGUGUUAGGGGAAAUUGAAAGAACCUGGUGUGUAUGUUUCCCCAGCUCCCUGCUUCCUACCUAGAUUUCUCCAAA
Molecule: long non-coding RNA, 2955 nt
Organism: Meriones unguiculatus (Mongolian gerbil)
Lineage: Eukaryota; Metazoa; Chordata; Mammalia; Rodentia; Muridae
Exons: 3
Source: RefSeq, a predicted model, not a curated record